This 253-nucleotide ribosomal RNA is filed under the name uncultured bacterium. RNAcentral's name for it is "partial 16S ribosomal RNA". It matches the Rfam family "Bacterial small subunit ribosomal RNA", at positions 524 to 776 of the family's 1533-position model. The record is from RNAcentral.
UACGAAGGGGGCUAGCGUUGCUCGGAAUUACUGGGCGUAAAGCGCACGUAGGCGGCUUCUUAAGUCGGUGGUGAAAUCCUGGAGCUCAACUCCAGAACUGCCUUCGAUACUGGGAAGCUCGAGUCCGGGAGAGGUGAGUGGAUCUGCGAGUGUAGAGGUGAAAUUCGUAGAUAUUCGCAAGAACACCAGUGGCGAAGGCGGCUCACUGGCCCGGUACUGACGCUGAGGUGCGAAAGCGUGGGGAGCAAACAGG